AUCCCAUGAUAAGAACACUUACAAAGUAACUCCUUGAAUCGCUCCCAAGCCUCAUACAAAGACUCAUCAUCCAAUUGUUGGAAAGUUGUGAUCUUGUUCCUUAACUU
This 107-nucleotide small nucleolar RNA is filed under the name Gossypium arboreum. Its description in RNAcentral is "Plant small nucleolar RNA R71". It matches the Rfam family "Plant small nucleolar RNA R71". From Rfam's summary of the family: R71 is a member of the C/D box family of snoRNAs containing the C (UGAUGA) and D (CUGA) box motifs. Lineage: Eukaryota; Viridiplantae; Streptophyta; Magnoliopsida; Malvales; Malvaceae. The record is from Rfam by way of RNAcentral.